This 216-nucleotide small nucleolar RNA is filed under the name Larimichthys crocea (large yellow croaker). Its description in RNAcentral is "Small nucleolar RNA U3 (ENSLCRG00005001431.1)". It matches the Rfam family "Small nucleolar RNA U3". From Rfam's summary of the family: Small nucleolar RNAs (snoRNAs) are involved in the processing and modification of rRNA in the nucleolus. There are two main classes of snoRNAs: the box C/D class, and the box H/ACA class. U3 snoRNA is a member of the box C/D class. Lineage: Eukaryota; Metazoa; Chordata; Actinopteri; Sciaenidae. The record is from RNAcentral.
AAGACUAUACUUUCAGGGAUCAUUUCUAUAGUUUCUAACUUGAGAAAGUGUUUUCUAAAGUGUUUGGUCUCGCUAGCCUGAUGAUGAGUCGUGAUAUUUCCUUCUGAGCGUGAAGCUGACAGAGAGUAAUGAUCAAAUUUCAUAUUUUCUCUGUCAUUGAUGAUUGUUCUUUACUUCUUGCUGGAGUAUUAAGGAAGGGAAUGUGAUCCGAGUGGU